RNAcentral lists this transfer RNA (69 nucleotides) under Urocitellus parryii (Arctic ground squirrel). RNAcentral describes it as "Spermophilus parryii (Arctic ground squirrel) tRNA". It matches the Rfam family "tRNA". Rfam says of the family: Transfer RNA (tRNA) molecules are approximately 80 nucleotides in length. Their secondary structure includes four short double-helical elements and three loops (D, anti-codon, and T loops). The record is from Rfam by way of RNAcentral. RNAcentral also lists the same sequence under 1 other name. Lineage: Eukaryota; Metazoa; Chordata; Mammalia; Rodentia; Sciuridae.
GGGGUUGUGGCUCAGUGGUAGAGUGCUCACUUAGCAUAUGUGAGGCCCUGGGUUCGAUCCUCAGCACCA